This 253-nucleotide ribosomal RNA is filed under the name uncultured bacterium. RNAcentral's name for it is "partial 16S ribosomal RNA". It matches the Rfam family "Bacterial small subunit ribosomal RNA", at positions 524 to 776 of the family's 1533-position model. The record is from RNAcentral.
GACGAACCGUGCGAACGUUAUUCGGAAUCACUGGGCUUAAAGGGCGCGUAGGCGGGCCGCAUAGUCAGGGGUGAAAGCCUCCAGCUCAACUGGAGAAGUGCCUCUGAUACUGGCGGCCUCGAGGGGUGCAGGGGCGUGCGGAACUUAGGGUGGAGCGGUGAAAUGCGUAGAUAUCCUAAGGAACACCGGUGGCGAAGGCGGCACGCUGGACACCUUCUGACGCUGCGGCGCGAAAGCAUGGGGAGCGAACAGG